ACUUCGGGGGACGAUACGGCGUCGAGCGGCGGACGGGUGAGUAAUGCCUAGGAAAUUGCCCUGAUGUGGGGGAUAACCAUUGGAAACGAUGGCUAAUACCGCAUAAUACCUACGGGUCAAAGAGGGGGACCUUCGGGCCUCUCGCGUCAGGAUAUGCCUAGGUGGGAUUAGCUAGUUGGUGAGGUAAUGGCUCACCAAGGCGACGAUCCCUAGCUGGUCUGAGAGGAUGAUCAGCCACACUGGAACUGAGACACGGUCCAGACUCCUACGGGAGGCAGCAGUGGGGAAUAUUGCACAAUGGGCGCAAGCCUGAUGCAGCCAUGCCGCGUGUGUGAAGAAGGCCUUCGGGUUGUAAAGCACUUUCAGUCGUGAGGAAGGUGGUGUAGUUAAUAGCUGCAUUAUUUGACGUUAGCGACAGAAGAAGCACCGGCUAACUCCGUGCCAGCAGCCGCGGUAAUACGGAGGGUGCGAGCGUUAAUCGGAAUUACUGGGCGUAAAGCGCAUGCAGGUGGUUUGUUAAGUCAGAUGUGAAAGCCCGGGGCUCAACCUCGGAAUAGCAUUUGAAACUGGCAGACUAGAGUACUGUAGAGGGGGGUAGAAUUUCAGGUGUAGCGGUGAAAUGCGUAGAGAUCUGAAGGAAUACCGGUGGCGAAGGCGGCCCCCUGGACAGAUACUGACACUCAGAUGCGAAAGCGUGGGGAGCAAACAGGAUUAGAUACCCUGGUAGUCCACGCCGUAAACGAUGUCUACUUGGAGGUUGUGGCCUUGAGCCGUGGCUUUCGGAGCUAACGCGUUAAGUAGACCGCCUGGGGAGUACGGUCGCAAGAUUAAAACUCAAAUGAAUUGACGGGGGCCCGCACAAGCGGUGGAGCAUGUGGUUUAA
Molecule: ribosomal RNA, 883 nt
Filed under: Vibrio sp. R11M2
Lineage: Bacteria; Pseudomonadati; Pseudomonadota; Gammaproteobacteria; Vibrionales; Vibrionaceae
Description: bacterial SSU rRNA
Rfam family: Bacterial small subunit ribosomal RNA
Source: RNAcentral